AGAUCCGGGCCAGAGCGACGCGUUGUCCGCCGCUCGUUUGCCGACCAGCAGUAGGGGCCCUCCGGCCCCCAAAGGCACGUGUCGUUGGCUAAGCCCUCGCGGCGGACGAGCCGCGCGGGCCGCCUUGAAUUACAAUUUCCACCGGGCGGCGGACUGAAUCCUUUGCAGACGACUUAAAUACGCGACGGGGUAUUGUAAGUGGCAGAGUGGCCUUGCUGCCACGAUCCACUGAGAUUCAGCCCUUCGUCGCUCCGAUUCGU
RNAcentral lists this non-coding RNA (260 nucleotides) under Ricinus communis (castor bean). Its description in RNAcentral is "Eukaryotic large subunit ribosomal RNA". It matches the Rfam family "Eukaryotic large subunit ribosomal RNA", at positions 3138 to 3401 of the family's 3401-position model. Lineage: Eukaryota; Viridiplantae; Streptophyta; Magnoliopsida; Malpighiales; Euphorbiaceae. The record is from Rfam by way of RNAcentral.